CAUCUUGUGAUGCAAUCACAAGCUUUAUGACAUACAAGCACUGCCGUGACGAAGUGUGGAAAACUGACUUCACCAAAUAAGCAAUGUUGCAAUGAAAAUCUGCUCAGCAGAGAUUAUAUUGACUAAAGAAGAGAAAUCCAGUCAGCUGAGGAGAAAAAUACAGAACAAUGAGAGAAUACUGUUUCCAGCACUCGGAUUAACAAGCUGAAUUGCAGUAGAAAUCAUUGCACAGAAAGAAAGCUGUUAUAUAAGCUUUGACAAGGUGCCUUACAAUUUCUUGAGCAUACCCACCUGUGGAAAAGAAGAACACAUCAUAUCUUAUGGGAGACAACUAGCAAUCCUUUUCUUCAGGAGUCAAGGCAUAACGUACCAGAUAAUGUGCCAGAAGACAUAAAGAUAAACACAUUCUGAUAUCCUUCUCUUCUUGCAGUAAAGAUAAAUUAUUCUAAGUUCAUUUCUUUUUUGAAACAUUUUCUUCAUCCAUACAGUGGGGUACAGAAAUGCUUUGGGGAAAGGAAUAUUUUACAUUUAUGUACUAUUUGCUUUAGUUUUGCUUUUGUACUCUCCAUUCAUGUGACCAAAUUUCUUCAUAUUUCCCUGUGCCUCAGUUUGUCUAGAAAACUAAGAUUCUUCUUUUACAUUCGAGUUAGUAUAGACUUAGUUAUUGAUGCUUAAAAUGCCUUCAUGUUUCAUACCUUAGGAAACUUAGAUCCCCUCUUCCAAUUCAUAAGCAUACCUGAAUCUUAGUUAUUUCUUCUCUGCUGUUCCCUUUCUCCUUCUGUAGAAUCCCCUUUGCCAAAAAUAACAGGGUUAAUAUACAGUCCACUGACCAAGUGCACCUGGCACUGAGAUAUGUGAUAGAAAAAGGAUGUCCUCCAGUGCAGCCAUGGAUGGUUCAUGCUUGAAGAACUCAUGCUAAGAAGCCCAUACCUGUGGCUUUUUUCCCUUUCCUGUCAUGCAAUGCAUGUACUGUUUUCUUUCCACUUGCCCUGGGGGGGUGGGUUUUAAGCCUUGGGAAAGUAGGAGUGUGAGCACUCAGAAGACCUGAUCUGAAACCCUGGAUGACUUUAAGGUCAAAUGAGUUGCUUGUUUUAGAAACACAGUGAGACUACUCCCUGUGCUUUUCAAGUGUAUAGGUACCACUUCAAAAAUGUACUCCUUUACAAUUAUUGCCAUCCUUUAUGUUUUGUCAAAAAUAUUUUGUGGAUUAAAGAAAUAUGUUCACUUCUCAUUACCUUCUACUUCUGUUUUAGCUGGAUGAGCUUUCCAAGCCACUUCUAUAUAUGCUGGAAACUUGUACAGACAUACAAGAGACAGCCUGGUGCUGCAAUGAAUGCUGAGAGGUUAAAUGGCAGAUGUGAAAAACACUUCUUUAAUUUGCAGAAUACAUGAGAGAUGAUGAUACACUGUUCUUAUCACAAGAAGGAAAAGGGAACAGAAAAAUACCCUCACGAUUCAACUGUUUGCAGUCUUACUGUGCGGAUGACUCACUUGCAUCCAUUUUGAUAGUACUAAACUAUUUAACAUUUUUAAAAAAUAUAUAUUCUCUGUGAUCCAAGCAAUUGGUGACUUUUAUUCCUGCAUGGUCAUACUUAAUUAUUCUCUAUGUGUUUCACACAUCAAUAAGGUCGCCUAAAUAUAGCAGUAUUAGCUUUUAAUGGAUGUGAUAGAAAUUAUUUAAGUGAGAUUAGUUUCGCAGUAUUCUAAAGAAUCCUAAAGGCUGGAUGCUUAUGAACAAGGUGGAACAUAGCACUUUUCCAAUCAUAAGCUUUAGCAGCAUCCAGUUCAGAGAAUCAAGCAGCAUGAAUAAAGCAAAAUGGGGUGCUCUCCGAAUCUGAUGCCAUGGAGUGGGGUUUUACUGCUUGUUCAGAUAGCAUCUUGCUGUCUGUAAGGACCAUAGUAACUGAGAAAUGCUUGAGACGUGUUCCUGUAAUUAUUAUAGAAUGUUUUUAUUUCUCAAAGCCCACCCUUGCAGUGCAGUGAAGUUCCUUAACACAAAAUGCCUCAUUAGACUUAUACUGCGUGAAAUGUUCAGAUGUGCGAAGGCCUUUGGCAGAUGAGGGAUGAAAGCAUGUGAAUCUGUAGAAACCCAGUAUCCUGUGGCAAGGUGGUACAAGGUUAAACUAUGUACCUGCCAAAGGAGUAGCACUAUCAUUUGAAAGGUUUUCACUUCACUGCCUACCUCCUUUCUCAAAUAUUU
Molecule: non-coding RNA, 2200 nt
Organism: Meleagris gallopavo (turkey)
Lineage: Eukaryota; Metazoa; Chordata; Aves; Galliformes; Phasianidae
Source: RefSeq, a predicted model, not a curated record